RNAcentral lists this unclassified non-coding RNA (4553 nucleotides) under Leishmania donovani. Its description in RNAcentral is "gene:LdHU3.28.3230(CDS-product:cyclin_dependent_k inase-binding_protein_putative)". Lineage: Eukaryota; Euglenozoa; Kinetoplastea; Trypanosomatida; Trypanosomatidae. The record is from RNAcentral.
UCUUCGUUUCGCAAGCAGCCGUCGCCCAAGGCGAAGCUUGCCAUUACCAUUUCGUGGGCCCACAACCCCCUCCGCCCCCCAGCCAUCUCUGUACCCUCUUGUGCUACCUUCACUCACUCUUUCUAUUAUUGCUUCGCCCUCUCUGCUGCUGCUGACGUCACGCUAAACGACGACACCAAUCAUAGGCACACGCGGAUACACGCCAAGCGUACUCACCAUCGUGCUGUAGCCUUCCAUAAACAGGAGUCGUGUGUCUUUCUGUGUGCUUCGGGGAUCAUUGCGUGGUGUUGCUGCGCAUUCUCCUCCCUCCUCCUCCUCCUCCUGCCACACUUGCUCAUUCCCUCGCACACCUUUUUCCCCUGUCGCUCUGCUUGCCACGCGACUCCAUUUUUGUUUUGUAUUUUUAAGAUAUACGCAUAUCUUCGAACUUCUCUGUGGCCGUGCUGACAUCGCUUCUCUUGCGUGCUCCGUCCCCAUCCUCCCUCUUUCCUCUUUCCGGUCUACACCUAUUGGGCAAUCACAGUCAUCUUCGGCUUCGCUAGCUGUUUGCGGUGCACCGGAGAGUCUGACUUUCUUCACGCGGACUUGCCCCCGCCUGCGGCAACGUCGUCGACGCAUUCGCCCUUCCCUCCGGUCUUGUUUCUUCAAAGGUGGCGUCGCGUACCAGCACUCCUCUUCGUCCGCACGACGCCCGCACUGCCAGUGCGGACACCCACCUGCCUCAUCACAUCGCCAAUGUAAACACGUUAGCCGGUCAGCCAUACAGAAAGGCUGCGCCGUCGCUUGCACCGGUGCAACUUGCUCCUCCGUUGUCGGCUCCUACCCUGCAUGAUGGCGCAUUGGCAGGACAGGUCCUGAGUGCAGCCGAGGGCAGGAAAGCACUUGACGGCAUCGUCCGCAGCGGCUCUCAUGCCCAACCUCCACAACCCGCUUCGCCUUCCUCCGCUUGCAUGAUCUCGAAGGGCGGCAACAGCGGUUUAGGUAGCGGCAGCGGGGUGAAGCCGCGCUUGGUGGCAAAGGUGUCGGGUGUGCAGCGGGCAACUGCGUUCCUCAGCGCCAUCGACCCGACAGAGCUGCAUCCCCACCCUCUGCGCGGUGCCGCUCGAUCCAUCACCAAGGACGGCAGCGGCGGCAGCUCCAGCUCCAAUCCCGACAGCCUUGGCGGCAGUUUCAACAACGCCGAGACGGAGGAGGAAAGAGCAGUGCUGGAUGGAAUGUCGCGUGCGCUGGGCACCGGUGCCGAUGGGUGCGAUACUCUGCGCAAUUUCACGAUACGCGUUCCGAGCUCCAGUGCUUUUGAAGCGCCCGCUAACACGCACGUCGGCGGCCUUGCUAGCGCCGCCACACAAAGUACGUCUGCACCAGCGGUCGCUAACACCACAAGCAGCAGCGAUCCCGACGCCAUAGUGGCUACAGAUGCCGUUGCCUCCGAUCACCCUCAUUUCUCUAGCACAAUCCGUCGUGCGCCAGUCGGCAAGGCUGUCUCUCAGCUCACGCCGCAGCAGUUCCAGCACCGACGCCGCCAACCCUUCGCCGCCGACUUUUCUCUUCGAUACCGGCGGCAGGAGAACUUCCUCAAGUCGCUCGGCACUAGCAUGAAGCCUACCAAGCGGCAUCGUCGUCACAACAGCAGCAGCAGCAGCAGCAGCUCCUCUUCCUCCAGCCGCAGCCGCAGUGAGAUUCAGCGCAGUGCGGCCUCGCCGAUGAACACCAGUGGCGCUACUGCGGCCGGCGGCCUUGGCACGGGUGCUAGUGGCGCUAGGCAGGAUGCCGGGGCAUCCGCUGCGAACGGUGGCCUCACCACCGCUGGUGGUGACAUUUCCGGCACCACGUUAAACGGUGGUGUCACCGGCGCUGGCGGGGAGUCGAAUCUGCUGCCGUCGCAGGGGCACCGGCACCGCAUCAGCUGCAAUAGCGGGGGCAAGCCGCCACUGCAGGUCCACGAGCUUGUGAAAAGGGAGGGCCAGCGGGUGCGGCUGCGGUGGAUCUACGGUGAUGUUCAGCAGCGCCGCUCGUCCUCGUCGUCGUCUUCGUCCUCUUCGAGCAGCCGCUCUUCUGGAUCGCGGCAGAGCCGCGGGAAGCGGAGCCCCAAGUGCGGCCCAGGCGGCGGCGACGGGGUCGCUGUGGGAAAAGGGUCACUGCCCGCAUAUGGCAGAGGUUCGGUUCCUGGCGCCCUCGAGACGGAGUGGAGUGGAACACCGCAGCACCUGUCCAGCACGAGUCACACUCUCGUGCGGUCUUUGUCUUUGUCCUCCUCUUCGUCGUCGUCCUCUGACGAUAGCUCGCGUCGUCGCCGCACGCGAAGCAAGAAGCGGUGGCAACGGCAGUGGUGGGCGCAGUCGGCUGCCACGCCGAUGUCGCUCUGCACCAUCUUGACAAAGUUCGAACCACGCGUGACGUCGCUGUGGAAGGAGGACCAAGUGAUUCAGCCGUACCGCGGGGAGUCCAACGCGAGUAGCAGCAGGUCCAGCUCAUCCUCCAAAAAGCGCUCGUCCUCGUCCUCGUCCUCGUCCUCGUCUUCGUCGUCCUUCCUUUCGCACUCACGGGACCUCAACGACGCCGAUGGCGAGUAUCAAGAUUUUGUGGUGAACGGCCAAUACCUCGCUGGUAAUUACGCGGACCGCCGGCACGUGGCCGAGAUGACGAGCGUGGUCGUUAGCUCUAGCUCUUCAGACUCGGGCCUCAGAACGCACUCGUUGUACUCGUCAUCCUCCUCAAAGACGCGCUCCGACGGCAGCACCCACAGCCGUCGUGGCAGCAGCAACCGUACCCAAAGCCACUCCUCCUCUUCUUACGGCAGCAGCCGCGGCUCCAGUCGACACAGCCGCGGCAGCAGUCGGAGCAGUCGCAGCAGCUCACGCAGCUCCUCCAACGCGCGCCACCGCCGCCGCCAUCACAACCGCGGCAGAGGAGGCAUCAUCAGCGGCGAGGGCGAUAUUCGAAGCUACCGUAAGGUCCUCGCGCGGCAACAGUGCCGCAACAACCCUGCCUUCUCGAACGCGUACUUCCUCGACACGGGCAACAUCACCGGUGGCGAGCGCCGCCGCAAGAUGAUCUCUCUCCCCUCCUACCGCGUCUCGAUGAUCUCAUUUGUGGACAAGAAGAUCCUCAAGAAGGACCUCAACCACAACUUCUAUAUUCAGCACCCCGAGCUCGAGGUUCGUGAUAUCAAACUGACGCACCUCCGCAAGAUCAAGCACGAGUUGCUGGUCUACGCGCUAGAGGACAACUCCCUGUUGGACCUGACCACCACGGCGUAUGCGUACUGGUACUUUGAGCGACUCGUGGUGCAGGGCAUGGUGGGCAAGCACAACCGCAAGGAGAUCAUGGCGGCAUGCGUACUGCUCGCCAUCAAGUUCCUGGAAACGGGCGAUCUCAUGAAGAAGAUUGCCUACUUCAAGAACCGGUGGCGCCGCUUUCACAACGUGUCUGGCGUGCACGUCGGAAAUGUCAACGCGAUGCUCGGCGGCGGCGGCGCUAAGGGGGUGGAGGAGGAUGACGAGGAGGUGGUGCACGUGAAUUGGAAGAAGGUGGAGGAGCAGGAGUUCCCGGUGUACGUCGGGCUCGACUUUACACUGCUGCCCGACGGAGACGGGCAGGUGAUCAAGACGCACAUUGAACGCCUGCUGCAGCUCAUCAAUGUGACCUCACAGGAGUACUAUAGCAAGAAGUUCGUUUCACCUGCGUACUUGAACCACUACAACUGCUACAGCAACCUCUACUACUAGUACACGCUUGAUGUGUGCCUUGCAGGAGCGCCUCUUCGUACCAGUUGUUGGUCGUCAUGUAAUGAUGAGUGUGUGUGCCUGUGUUGCGUGGCUGUGGUGUUGCAUACAUUAAGAAGCGGAAUAUGCCUCCUACUCCCCCUUUUUUUUGCUCCCCCUCUCUGCCUCUCUCUGUACAUAUAUAUAUAUAUAUAUACAUAUGCAUGCAUGUGUGUCUGGGACUGUGUGUGUGUGGCGACGUAUGGAUAUGUGCAUCCUUCGUUUCUCUUUUGUUUGUGUAUUGCUCGAGUGGGAAGGUGGCGUCUGACCAUGCCGCUCGCGCACGAUCUUCCUGCAUUCCUGCACCUCCCCGCUCUCCACCCAAAAGCCUCCUUCUCUCUGCCUUGCCUCUCCGCAUUUUGGACGCUUCUCUCAUCUUUUUCGGGUUGGCAUUGCGGAAGGCUUUUGCGUCUCUUUCCCCCCUUCGCCUGUGUGCUGCUUCCGUGUGCUGCGGUUGCGGCAUGCAUCCACGCAACGCACUCCCUCACAUGCGCACACAGGCGAAGGGGGGGAGGGGGCGGGGUAGGGGGCGCCAGCGAUUUUUGUGAUAAGCGCUACAGAGGGAGAUGGUUGACGACGCGAACGCCGGUGCUUCUGUUGCGGCCGUGAGUGACAUCGAAGCCUGUUCUGUGUUUUGUCCGCGCCCCCUUCGCUCUGUCCGCCCCGCGACAUUCUUGAGGAAAGGGUUGGGAAGAAGCUGGCAAAGGUGAUUGCCCAUAAUGAAGUAGGUGAACGAUAGACAGGCAAACAACAACCCAUGCCAUCGCGAUGGCGCUUCUCCUUAGGCUU